UCCCGAGUAGCUCAGUGGUCAGAGCGCUCCGGUCUUGUGUGAGAGGUCGCUGGUUCGAAUCCAGCUUCGGGAACGA
This 76-nucleotide transfer RNA is filed under the name Flavobacterium columnare. RNAcentral describes it as "tRNA-Lys". It matches the Rfam family "tRNA". From Rfam's summary of the family: Transfer RNA (tRNA) molecules are approximately 80 nucleotides in length. Their secondary structure includes four short double-helical elements and three loops (D, anti-codon, and T loops). Further hydrogen bonds mediate the characteristic L-shaped molecular structure. tRNAs have two regions of fundamental functional importance: the anti-codon, which is responsible for specific mRNA codon recognition, and the 3' end, to which the tRNAs corresponding amino acid is attached (by aminoacyl-tRNA synthetases). tRNAs cope with the degeneracy of the genetic code in two manners: having more than one tRNA (with a specific anti-codon) for a particular amino acid; and 'wobble' base-pairing, i.e. permitting non-standard base-pairing at the 3rd anti-codon position. Lineage: Bacteria; Pseudomonadati; Bacteroidota; Flavobacteriia; Flavobacteriales; Flavobacteriaceae. The record is from RNAcentral.